CAGUCAUGCUAGUGAGGAAUCAACUUGAUGGUUUGUGGGUUCGCUCGCAUACUUUCCGGUGCACUUCCUCACUCGGCAGGUUAGCAUCAAUUUCGGUCAUCAUAAAAAAUUUAAGGGAAUGUGGCUUUUCUCGGAAAAGUGUUAUAGACCUUGAUCUAUGUGGUGACCGGGAUUGAGGAUUGCAGCGGAUACCCUUGUGGCUUAUCACCUUGCCUUCUGACGUAAUGGCUUUAAACGACCGUCUUCGAAACACGGACCAAGGAGUCUAACAU
RNAcentral lists this ribosomal RNA (272 nucleotides) under Acaulospora cavernata. The record is from RNAcentral. Lineage: Eukaryota; Fungi; Glomeromycota; Glomeromycetes; Diversisporales; Acaulosporaceae.